This 379-nucleotide ribosomal RNA is filed under the name uncultured Anoxybacillus sp. RNAcentral describes it as "bacterial SSU rRNA". It matches the Rfam family "Bacterial small subunit ribosomal RNA", at positions 1007 to 1374 of the family's 1533-position model. The record is from RNAcentral. Lineage: Bacteria; Bacillati; Bacillota; Bacilli; Caryophanales; Anoxybacillaceae.
CGAGGUUUAUCCGAUUCGUCGGAACAGAGUGACAGGUGCUGCAUGGCUGUCGUCAGCUCGUGUCGUGAGAUGUUGGGUUAAGUCCCGCAACGAGCGCAACCCUCGACCUUAGUUGCCAGCAUUCAGUUGGGCACUCUAAGGUGACUGCCGGCUAAAAGUCGGAGGAAGUGGGGAUGACGUCAAAUCAUCAUGCCCCUUAUGACCUGGGCUACACACGUGCUACAAUGGGCGGUACAAAGGGUCGCGAACCCGCGAGGGGGAGCCAAUCCCAAAAAGCCGCUCUCAGUUCGGAUUGCAGGCUGCAACUCGCCUGCAUGAAGCCGGAAUCGCUAGUAAUCGCAGGUCAGCAUACUCGCGGUUCCGAAUACGUUCCGGCCUU